Molecule: ribosomal RNA, 131 nt
Filed under: Pyrenochaeta sp.
Lineage: Eukaryota; Fungi; Ascomycota; Dothideomycetes; Pleosporales; Cucurbitariaceae
Description: partial small subunit ribosomal RNA
Rfam family: Eukaryotic small subunit ribosomal RNA
Source: RNAcentral
CCCUGCCCUUUGUACACACCGCCCGUCGCUACUACCGAUUGAAUGGCUCAGUGAGGCUUUCGGACUGGCCCGAGGAGGUUGGCAACGACCACCCCGGGCCGGAAACUUGUUCAAACUUGGUCAUUUAGAGG